UGUCCAGACUCCUACGGGAGGCAGCAGUGAGGAAUAUUGGUCAAUGGGCGGGAGCCUGAACCAGCCAAGUCGCGUGAGGGAAGACGGUCCUACGGAUUGUAACCCUCUUUUGCCGGGGAGCAACGGGGUCCUUGCGAGGGCCCAAUGAGAGUACCCGGAGAAAAAGCAUCGGCUAACUCCGUGCCAGCAGCCGCGGUAAUACGGAGGAUGCGAGCGUUAAUCGGAAUUACUGGGCGUAAAGCGCUCGUAGGCGGUAUGUCAAGUCAAGGGUGAAAUCCCCGCGCUCAACGUGGGAACUGCCUUUGAAACUGGCAAACUGGAGUGUGUGAGAGGAUAGUGGAAUUCCAGGUGUAGGAGUGAAAUCCGUAGAUAUCUGGAGGAACAUCAGUGGCGAAGGCGACUAUCUGGCACAUAACUGACGCUGAGGAGCGAAGGCGUGGGUAGCAAACAGGAUUAGAUACCCUAGUA
RNAcentral lists this ribosomal RNA (468 nucleotides) under uncultured bacterium. Its description in RNAcentral is "bacterial SSU rRNA". It matches the Rfam family "Bacterial small subunit ribosomal RNA", at positions 328 to 792 of the family's 1533-position model. The record is from RNAcentral.